ACCUGGAGCGGGGGAUUCAAUUAGUCAAGAUUCAAAAGCUGAAAGCAUUUAAAUGCAUGAUAUGCAUGAAACUAACCAAGUUUUGAGAGAGCAAGUUAAGUUCGGCUUUAGAUCACGCUACUUUGUUCUAAGUUGAUUUGUGAAAUGUUUUUGUAUUAUAACAUUUAAGAACAAUAGAUCCACCCAAGGUAUUAAACAGAGAGCUUACCAUAAUAUAUACAUAUACUGCUGAGUUGAAAAUUAACAAUCGAUGCAUGCAUCAAGAUAAUUGCAAAAAAUGUGAAAUUUCACCAGUUAGUACAUGAAUUUGGAAUGACAUUGUAUGGGCAUAUAUGUUUUGAAAAAUGAAUCACAAUCAAGCAUACAUCUGAAAAAUGUUUAAACAAUAACCACUAAAAUUGUUACAAAAAUGGAUUCGAGCAUGUUAAGAUUUCCAUAUCAAAAGGAUUAAGGACGUAAAGAGGAUGUGGAUGCCAUCCCACAGGUAAGAACAUUAUGCCAAUUCAAGCUUGGUAACAAAUCAUCUCUUGGUCAACUUGGCUAAGGAUGAUCUGUCAACCUGUAACCUUCAACUGAGUCCUCUUUACAUUUACAAGACGUGAUAGUCCGGAGGAGGAGGACAUGUAAGAAUGCCUGUAAGAAGCCUUAACUAGCUCAAUUUCCAUUAAGUGCCUCGCACAAAUCUACUUCACUUGGUAGAGGCAUUAGUCAAUAAAAACAUGAAAUGCAUGCUAUACUCUCUUAUUUCAAUGGAUGCAAGUAAAAGCCUGCAUUAAUCUAAAACAUAUACAUCAGCAAAGAUUGAAAUAACAAGUUUCCUAGAAAGUAGAAGACUGCAGUGCGUUUGAACCACUAUGACAAAAUUUAUUAACCAAUACUCACUGCUCUGACCAAAACUUCAUAAUCUAAACAUUUAAGUCCAAGUUCAAGUCCAUAACUUGAGUCCAGUUCAAGUUCAAGUCCAUAAAUAUAUUUUCAACCUGGAGAUUUGAUCAGGGAGUUUUUCAAUCAGAAGACAUAAAAAUUUACCAGUUAACUAUGAUGGCUUUGUCUUUUGUCCGACUCGAGUGAUUCGUCUCAGAUUUUGUGUUCCCUGCCUCAUUUCUCUGCAUAAGGACAAAAAUUUUUUAUGAAAAUAAUUCUAAACCUCUGUUAAUUUGGAAUUUUCAAAAACUAGAAAUGUACCUUUGAUACAAAUAAACAAUAAGAUAAAAAAGAGGCAGCAGCAUCAAAGUCAGUAUUGACAAAGCAAGGUAGAUAACACUUGUUUGCUUCUGUAUGAAAAAAAAAAGAAGAGAAAGAAAAAUGUGAGACAGAGCAUCUAAAUCAAGAAUAAUAUAAGCAACAGACUAUACGAUUAUUUUAAUGGUCUAGUAGAUCAAAUAAAGAAAGCAAAAGAUGGAGAAUUGUAAAUUUUCAAGCAUUCAAAGAAAUUUACAUAGUAUUGUUAAGUGAGUUCCCUUAACCUAGUAAUACUCUUGGAGUUCUUUGGACUACUCAAAAGAAACAAUCAAUGAUAAAAGUCAUGAAAAUUUUAGAAUAUUUCUAUAUUUUUUUCCUUUUCUUUUAAGAACUUUGUGGCUGGCAAAUCAAGUACAACCUAAUAUGGGCAUGAAAAUUAUGCAAACUGGAUGCUAGGAAUUCUGAUAAUCACAGAAUUAGUGUUGAGGCUCGGCUGCAAAUUUGACCUCUCAUGCAACCGCUGUACACAGAGUAAAAUCUUACCUUGCGACCUUUAGGAAAAUGCUUUUUUUUCCCUGAACAAGUGUGAGCAUCACAGAAUUGGUGCAAAAACAAUUCUACAAGUAAGAACAUAAGCAAUAGAAAUUAGUGAAUACAACAAAUGCUUUUUAAACUAAUGAUUUAGCCAGUAUAAUAGCAUCAGGCUGCCACAAAAAACUAAAGAAGAAAAAAAAGUAGUUUAUCUUGCUGAUUUACAAAACAAAAGUACCAUGCAGGUGGCUUGCUGAACGACCUUGAUUAAGAGGAAAACAGGUAUCUGCAAGACUCUCACAAAGAUGGCGAUUUUUCGCAACAGCUGCAGGAUUGCAUUUUGUCUUUGGUGAUUUGGAAUUCAUCACAAAAUCACAAUGCAAUGCACCACAUAAAUCAGCCAAGCACUUGCCCUCGCUAACAUUCAGAAGAUUGUAGUGCCUGCUGUCAAAAUGCUGAUCAAUAUAUUUUUCAGCGCGGAAGCUCUUCUUACAAUAUCCACACUUCCAUUCAUUUAUGUCCACGUGAAUUUUAUGCUGCUCUUGAUCCCUGAAGAGAUCAUUGUCAGGAUGAAGUCUACAUUUACUAGAAAUCUGGUAAUUUUCCCGUUCAACAAAUGGCAUCAAAUACUCCUCUACAAUGUUCCAUGCAGCCCUACUUCUUUCUCUAGAACAAUGUACUUCAUGUGCGUGCUGUUUUUCUUGCUUAACAGUUCUUUCAGCUGCAUCUUCUCCAAUUUCCUUGGAUAGCGUUUGUUGUAGGAAAAAUGAAAUCAAGAGAAGAAUUAGAGUUGUUGCCGUCGUUUUCUCCAUCUGUUUCUCGAGUUAGGAGAAUCGGCGAAUUCUGCAAAUAUUUUCCAGGAAAAUGCUUCAGCCUGUUUGGCUAGUAGUGGAUUCGUAUUCUAGUUGAUGAUAGACAUUUUUCCCAUUCGAACAAAGGAUGUCAGGAAGGUUAUAGCCACAAUGAGGGAUUUGCAAGGAUU
This 2695-nucleotide unclassified non-coding RNA is filed under the name Hevea brasiliensis (rubber tree). Lineage: Eukaryota; Viridiplantae; Streptophyta; Magnoliopsida; Malpighiales; Euphorbiaceae. The record is from RNAcentral.